RNAcentral lists this ribosomal RNA (251 nucleotides) under uncultured prokaryote. Its description in RNAcentral is "partial 16S rRNA". It matches the Rfam family "Bacterial small subunit ribosomal RNA", at positions 525 to 775 of the family's 1533-position model. The record is from RNAcentral.
ACGGAGGGUGCAAGCGUUAUCCGGAAUUAUUGGGUGUAAAGCGCGCGUAGGCGGCCCUGCAAGUCUGAUGUGAAAGCUCUGGGCUUAACCCGGGAAGUGCCUUGGAAACUGCAGGUCUUGAGUACUGGUGAGGAUGGGGGAAUUCCCGGUGUAGAGGUGAAAUUCUUAGAGAUCGGGAAGAAUAUCAGUGGCGAAGGCACCCAUCUGGACGGUAACUGACGCUGAGACGCGAAAGCGUGGGGAGCAAACAG